RNAcentral lists this small RNA (648 nucleotides) under Pan troglodytes (chimpanzee). RNAcentral describes it as "retained intron". Lineage: Eukaryota; Metazoa; Chordata; Mammalia; Primates; Hominidae. The record is from RNAcentral.
GAGAAUAUUGUGCAAAGAAUGGCCAGAUGGGAUUAACAAAGGGAGGUUUUCCCUGAGAAAGAAAAAGGUAAGAAUUAUCCAAUGUUAACUUUACAAAGUCUGUAAAUCUAUUCUGAAUAGCUUUUUUUCCUCGAAAAAUUUUAGUUGAUGAGGAAUCUGGAUUAAAGGAUUCAGAACCAGAGCGAAAACGCAAGAAGACUGAAGACUCUUCUUCAGGCAAAUCAGUGGCGUCUGAUGUCCCUGAGGAAUUAGACUUUCUUGUACCUAAGGCUGGAUUCUUCUGUCCAAUUUGUUCCCUCUUCUACUCAGGUGAAAAAGCAAUGACAAAUCACUGCAAGAGUACACGUCAUAAGCAAAAUACUGAGGUAAUUUUUAAAAUUCUUACAAAAUCUUGAGGUGUUGUUAUUGUCUUAGAAUCAAAUUAUUUAUCUCCCCAAACAUACAUUUCCCCCCCCUUUAGGAGAAUGUUUAUGCCAGUUUAUUCCUCUUAAGUCCUGUUUUCUCCUUCAGUGUACCUUGCCUGUAAUUUCUAGUCCUUAUUCCUUUUCCUUGAACAGCAACAUUUGCCAGAGUAGAUUCUGCAGAUCACUAGUCUCAUAUGACACUCCAUUAUUAAAGUAAGAAACUGCAUAUUUUGAUGCCCUCUUG